Molecule: ribosomal RNA, 492 nt
Filed under: uncultured bacterium
Lineage: Bacteria
Description: partial 16S ribosomal RNA
Rfam family: Bacterial small subunit ribosomal RNA
Source: RNAcentral
AGUGAACGCUGGCGGUAGGCCUAACACAUGCAAGUCGAACGGCAGCACAGUAAGAGCUUGCUCUUACGGGUGGCGAGUGGCGGACGGGUGAGGAAUACAUCGGAAUCUACUUUUUCGUGGGGGAUAACGUAGGGAAACUUACGCUAAUACCGCAUACGACCUACGGGUGAAAGCAGGGGAUCUUCGGACCUUGCGCGAUUGAAGGAGCCGAUGUCGGAUUAGCUAGUUGGCGGGGUAAAGGCCCACCAAGGCGACGAUCCGUAGCUGGUCUGAGAGGAUGAUCAGCCACACUGGAACUGAGACACGGUCCAGACUCCUACGGGAGGCAGCAGUGGGGAAUAUUGGACAAUGGGCGCAAGCCUGAUCCAGCCAUACCGCGUGGGUGAAGAAGGCCUUCGGGUUGUAAAGCCCUUUUGUUGGGAAAGAAAAGCAGCAGGUUAAUACCCCGCUGUUCUGACGGUACCCAAAGAAUAAGCACCGGCUAACUUCGUG